RNAcentral lists this ribosomal RNA (2394 nucleotides) under Staphylococcus epidermidis. RNAcentral's name for it is "partial 23S ribosomal RNA". It matches the Rfam family "Bacterial large subunit ribosomal RNA", at positions 523 to 2925 of the family's 2925-position model. RNAcentral also lists the same sequence under 1 other name. Lineage: Bacteria; Bacillati; Bacillota; Bacilli; Caryophanales; Staphylococcaceae. The record is from RNAcentral.
ACCCCGGAAGGGGAGUGAAAGAGAACUUGAAACCGUGUGCUUACAAGUAGUCAGAGCCCGUUAAUGGGUGAUGGCGUGCCUUUUGUAGAAUGAACCGGCGAGUUACGAUCUGAUGCAAGGUUAAGCAGCAAAUGUGGAGCCGCAGCGAAAGCGAGUCUGAAUAGGGCGUUGAGUAUUUGGUCGUAGACCCGAAACCAGGUGAUCUACCCUUGGUCAGGUUGAAGUUCAGGUAACACUGAAUGGAGGACCGAACCGACUUACGUUGAAAAGUGAGCGGAUGAACUGAGGGUAGCGGAGAAAUUCCAAUCGAACUUGGAGAUAGCUGGUUCUCUCCGAAAUAGCUUUAGGGCUAGCCUCAAGUGAUGAUUAUUGGAGGUAGAGCACUGUUUGGACGAGGGGCCCCUCUCGGGUUACCGAAUUCAGACAAACUCCGAAUGCCAAUUAAUUUAACUUGGGAGUCAGAACAUGGGUGAUAAGGUCCGUGUUCGAAAGGGAAACAGCCCAGACCACCAGCUAAGGUCCCAAAAUAUAUGUUAAGUGGAAAAGGAUGUGGCGUUGCCCAGACAACUAGGAUGUUGGCUUAGAAGCAGCCAUCAUUUAAAGAGUGCGUAAUAGCUCACUAGUCGAGUGACACUGCGCCGAAAAUGUACCGGGGCUAAACAUAUUACCGAAGCUGUGGAUUGUCCUUUGGACAAUGGUAGGAGAGCGUUCUAAGGGCGUCGAAGCAUGAUCGCAAGGACAUGUGGAGCGCUUAGAAGUGAGAAUGCCGGUGUGAGUAGCGAAAGACGGGUGAGAAUCCCGUCCACCGAUUGACUAAGGUUUCCAGAGGAAGGCUCGUCCGCUCUGGGUUAGUCGGGUCCUAAGCUGAGGCCGACAGGCGUAGGCGAUGGAUAACAGGUUGAUAUUCCUGUACCACCUAGUAUCGUUUUAAUCGAUGGGGGGACGCAGUAGGAUAGGCGAAGCGUGCUGUUGGAGUGCACGUCCAAGCAGUAAGGCUGAGUGUUAGGCAAAUCCGGCACUCAUAAGGCUGAGCUGUGAUGGGGAGAGGAAAUUGUUUCCUCGAGUCGUUGAUUUCACACUGCCGAGAAAAGCCUCUAGAUAGAUAACAGGUGCCCGUACCGCAAACCGACACAGGUAGUCAAGAUGAGAAUUCUAAGGUGAGCGAGCGAACUCUCGUUAAGGAACUCGGCAAAAUGACCCCGUAACUUCGGGAGAAGGGGUGCUCUUUAGGGUUCACGCCCAGAAGAGCCGCAGUGAAUAGGCCCAAGCGACUGUUUAUCAAAAACACAGGUCUCUGCUAAACCGUAAGGUGAUGUAUAGGGGCUGACGCCUGCCCGGUGCUGGAAGGUUAAGAGGAGUGGUUAGCUUCUGCGAAGCUACGAAUCGAAGCCCCAGUAAACGGCGGCCGUAACUAUAACGGUCCUAAGGUAGCGAAAUUCCUUGUCGGGUAAGUUCCGACCCGCACGAAAGGCGUAACGAUUUGGGCACUGUCUCAACGAGAGACUCGGUGAAAUCAUAGUACCUGUGAAGAUGCAGGUUACCCGCGACAGGACGGAAAGACCCCGUGGAGCUUUACUGUAGCCUGAUAUUGAAAUUCGGCACAGCUUGUACAGGAUAGGUAGGAGCCUUUGAAACGUGAGCGCUAGCUUACGUGGAGGCGUUGGUGGGAUACUACCCUAGCUGUGUUGGCUUUCUAACCCGCACCACUUAUCGUGGUGGGAGACAGUGUCAGGCGGGCAGUUUGACUGGGGCGGUCGCCUCCUAAAAGGUAACGGAGGCGCUCAAAGGUUCCCUCAGAAUGGUUGGAAAUCAUUCAUAGAGUGUAAAGGCAUAAGGGAGCUUGACUGCGAGACCUACAAGUCGAGCAGGGUCGAAAGACGGACUUAGUGAUCCGGUGGUUCCGCAUGGAAGGGCCAUCGCUCAACGGAUAAAAGCUACCCCGGGGAUAACAGGCUUAUCUCCCCCAAGAGUUCACAUCGACGGGGAGGUUUGGCACCUCGAUGUCGGCUCAUCGCAUCCUGGGGCUGUAGUCGGUCCCAAGGGUUGGGCUGUUCGCCCAUUAAAGCGGUACGCGAGCUGGGUUCAGAACGUCGUGAGACAGUUCGGUCCCUAUCCGUCGUGGGCGUAGGAAAUUUGAGAGGAGCUGUCCUUAGUACGAGAGGACCGGGAUGGACAUACCUCUGGUGUACCAGUUGUCGUGCCAACGGCAUAGCUGGGUAGCUAUGUAUGGACGGGAUAAGUGCUGAAAGCAUCUAAGCAUGAAGCCCCCCUCAAGAUGAGAUUUCCCAACUUCGGUUAUAAGAUCCCUCGAAGAUGACGAGGUUAAUAGGUUCGAGGUGGAAGCGUGGUGACACGUGGAGCUGACGAAUACUAAUCGAUCGAAGACUUAAUCAA